Molecule: non-coding RNA, 90 nt
Filed under: Hemiselmis andersenii
Lineage: Eukaryota; Cryptophyceae; Cryptomonadales; Hemiselmidaceae
Source: RNAcentral
AAAGCAUAGGAAUCAUGAAUUAUUGAACUUUUUUUUUUAUUUUUUUUAUUAAAGAAAAUUUAAAAAACUGACUCUUUAAUUGUCAUUUUU